This 253-nucleotide ribosomal RNA is filed under the name uncultured bacterium. Its description in RNAcentral is "partial 16S ribosomal RNA". It matches the Rfam family "Bacterial small subunit ribosomal RNA", at positions 524 to 776 of the family's 1533-position model. The record is from RNAcentral.
UACAGAGGUCUCAAGCGUUGUUCGGAUUCAUUGGGCGUAAAGGGUUCGUAGGCGGUGCGGCAAGUUGGGAGUGAAAUCUCUGGGCUUAACCCAGAGGCUGCUUCCAAAACUGCUGUGCUUGAGUGUGGGAGAGGCGCGUGGAAUUGCAGGUGUAGCGGUGAAAUGCGUAGAUAUCUGCAGGAACACCCGUGGCGAAAGCGGCGCGCUGGACCACUACUGACGCUGAGGAACGAAAGCUAGGGGAGCAAACAGG